RNAcentral lists this transfer RNA (83 nucleotides) under Candidatus Pacearchaeota archaeon. RNAcentral's name for it is "tRNA-Glu". It matches the Rfam family "tRNA". Rfam says of the family: Transfer RNA (tRNA) molecules are approximately 80 nucleotides in length. Their secondary structure includes four short double-helical elements and three loops (D, anti-codon, and T loops). The record is from RNAcentral. Lineage: Archaea; Nanobdellati.
GCUCGUGUAGAAUAGUGGUCAAGUUCGCGGCCCUUUCGCGGCCGAAACCCGGGUCAACCCGGGUCCGAAUCCCGGCACGAGCA